CCUACGGGCGGCAGCAGUGGGGAAUAUUGGACAAUGGGCGAAAGCCUGAUCCAGCCAUGCCGCGUGUGUGAAGAAGGCCUUCGGGUUGUAAAGCACUUUCAGUGGGGAAGAAAGCCUUGGGGCUAAUACCCUCGAGGAAGGACAUCACCCACAGAAGAAGCACCGGCUAACUCCGUGCCAGCAGCCGCGGUAACACGGAGGGUGCGAGCGUUAAUCGGAAUUACUGGGCGUAAAGCGCGCGUAGGCGGUCUGAUAAGCCGGUUGUGAAAGCCCCGGGCUCAACCUGGGAACGGCAUCCGGAACUGUCAGGCUAGAGUGCAGGAGAGGAAGGUAGAAUUCCCGGUGUAGCGGUGAAAUGCGUAGAGAUCGGGAGGAAUACCAGUGGCGAAGGCGGCCUUCUGGACUGACACUGACGCUGAGGUGCGAAAGCGUGGGUAGCAAACAGGAUUAGAUACCCCAGUAGUC
Molecule: ribosomal RNA, 465 nt
Filed under: Vreelandella stevensii
Lineage: Bacteria; Pseudomonadati; Pseudomonadota; Gammaproteobacteria; Oceanospirillales; Halomonadaceae
Description: partial 16S ribosomal RNA
Rfam family: Bacterial small subunit ribosomal RNA
Source: RNAcentral